This 84-nucleotide transfer RNA is filed under the name Tepidimonas ignava. RNAcentral's name for it is "tRNA-Leu". It matches the Rfam family "tRNA". From Rfam's summary of the family: Transfer RNA (tRNA) molecules are approximately 80 nucleotides in length. The record is from RNAcentral. Lineage: Bacteria; Pseudomonadati; Pseudomonadota; Betaproteobacteria; Burkholderiales.
GCGCGGGUGGCGAAAUUGGUAGACGCACCAGGUUUAGGUCCUGACGGUGGCGACACCGUGGGGGUUCGAGUCCCCCCCCGCGCA